MicroRNA precursor from Tetranychus urticae (two-spotted spider mite), 72 nucleotides. It matches the Rfam family "mir-2 microRNA precursor family". From Rfam's summary of the family: The miRNAs are transcribed as ~70nt precursors (modelled here) and subsequently processed by the Dicer enzyme to give a ~22nt product. The record is from Rfam. NCBI's taxonomy places the organism in Eukaryota, Metazoa, Arthropoda, Arachnida, Trombidiformes, Tetranychidae.
CGAGUCGUCAAAGGGGUUGUGAAAUGUUCAUUGUAAGCAAAUCCAUAUCACAGCCAGCUUUGAUGAUUUUGA